CCAAAGGCUUUUUUGGAAGCCGUCCUUUUUCAAAAAUUAAUAAAAU
Bacillus methanolicus MGA3 is the source of this 46-nucleotide non-coding RNA. The record is from Rfam. Lineage: Bacteria; Bacillati; Bacillota; Bacilli; Caryophanales; Bacillaceae.